AGCGAACGCUGGCGGCAGGCCUAACACAUGCAAGUCGAACGAACCUUUCGGGGUUAGUGGCGGACGGGUGAGUAACACGUGGGAACGUGCCUUUAGGUUCGGAAUAACUCAGGGAAACUUGUGCUAAUACCGAAUGUGCCCUUCGGGGGAAAGAUUAAUCGCCUUUGGAGCGGCCCGCGUCUGAUUAGCUAGUUGGUUGAGGUAAUGGCUCACCAAGGCGACGAUCAGUAGCUGGUCUGAGAGGAUGAUCAGCCACAUUGGGACUGAGACACGGCCCAAACUCCUACGGGAGGCAGCAGUGGGGAAUCUUGCGCAAUGGGCGAAAGCCUGACGCAGCCAUGCCGCGUGAAUGAUGAAGGUCUUAGGAUUGUAAAAUUCUUUCACCGGGGACGAUAAGGACGGUACCCGGAGAAGAAGCCCCGGCUAACUUCGU
RNAcentral lists this ribosomal RNA (433 nucleotides) under uncultured bacterium. RNAcentral describes it as "partial 16S ribosomal RNA". It matches the Rfam family "Bacterial small subunit ribosomal RNA", at positions 29 to 506 of the family's 1533-position model. The record is from RNAcentral.